RNAcentral lists this ribosomal RNA (109 nucleotides) under Sinocyclocheilus rhinocerous. The record is from RNAcentral. Lineage: Eukaryota; Metazoa; Chordata; Actinopteri; Cypriniformes; Cyprinidae.
GCUUACGGCCGUACCACCCUGUCUGCGUCUGACCUUGGAAGCUAAGCAGGGUUGGGCCUGGUUAGUACUUGGAUGGGAGACCGCCUGGGAAUACCAGGUGCUGUAAGCU